This 26-nucleotide small RNA is filed under the name Bombyx mori (domestic silkworm). Its description in RNAcentral is "ovarian small RNA-13065". Lineage: Eukaryota; Metazoa; Arthropoda; Insecta; Lepidoptera; Bombycidae. The record is from RNAcentral.
CACUGGCGUCUACGUAUGUGUGGAGC